RNAcentral lists this transfer RNA (91 nucleotides) under Caldovatus sediminis. RNAcentral describes it as "tRNA-Arg". The record is from RNAcentral. Lineage: Bacteria; Pseudomonadati; Pseudomonadota; Alphaproteobacteria; Acetobacterales; Roseomonadaceae.
GCGCUCGGCGACGCGGUCCUCGCGGUGGUGGCCUUCUGGGGCGUCGCCGCGGUGGCCGGGACGCGGCGGUGGAUCCUCCAUCCGAGCGCCC